This 978-nucleotide long non-coding RNA is filed under the name Equus asinus (donkey). RNAcentral describes it as "lncRNA (ENSEASG00005028178.1)". The record is from RNAcentral. Lineage: Eukaryota; Metazoa; Chordata; Mammalia; Perissodactyla; Equidae.
AAGGUCUUUAAGUAGGUGAUUAAGUUAAAAUGAGUCAUUAGAGUGGGCUCUAAUCUAAUAUGACUAGUGUUGUUUUAAGAAGAGGAAGUUAGGACACAGACACAUACCGAGGGAAGAUGAUGUGAAGACACAGGGAGAAGACAGCCACCUACAAGGCAAGGAGAGAGGCCUCAGGAGAAACCAACCGUGCCAACAUUUUGAUCUCAAACUUCUAGCCUCCAGAACUGUGAGGAAACUGAGGCACAGAGAGCUCAUGCAACUUUCCCCGAGUCUUCCAACUAUUGUCUGAAGGACUUAAACCCAGGAAGUUGGUUACUGAAUUUAUUGUCUAACCAGUAAGACAUACUGCCUUUUUGUGUGGAGCAUAGUGACCUGAGGAAACAUCUUUCUGGAAAGGUUCAAUCUUUCACAUUUGAAUGAUCCUUAUAUAUCCGCAAACUUUCCAGAAGACAACCUGUGGCUAUGUAUUUUUUCAGUUGGCUUGUGCAGCACUUCUCAAAGUGUGGUCAAUGGACUCCUGGGGAGAUCCUCUGUGGAGUCUGUGAGGAUCCCUCCACAGCAUGGCUGACGAGUGGAGUAUGUCUGCACCCAGGAUCCGAAACCCCAAACCCAGGCCACCAAAAUGGAGCAUGGAACUUUCAACUACUCGGCAACAGGGCCACCAGGAAAGAGCCUCUUCUUAAUUCUUCUACUGGCUUUCUUGGGAUUUGAGCGGUAGGACUGUGCUCAAACAAUUGGCCUGCUUUUUUAGAAACAUGUAAAUCCAAAACUCCAGGGUGAAGGCAGUUAAUCUCAGUAUGCCUGGUCUCUCUCUGGAUGAUUUCUUUCCAGAUUACUUUGGUAGAGAAAUCAGAUUUCUCAGAAAGUAUAUUCACUUGAUAUUGAAGAAAAAACAAAAGGAAAACACACCUACAAAAGUAUGCAGCUGAAUCAUUUAUUGAUUAAAUUUCCUAAUAAAACAUCCAAAUCCAAAUUGCC